GAACGCUAGCGACAGGCCUAACACAUGCAAGUCGAGGGGCAGCACAAGGAGCAAUCUGAGGUGGCGACCGGCGCACGGGUGAGUAACACGUAUGCAACCUGCCUGUAAGCGGGGAAUAACCCGUUGAAAGACGGACUAAUACCGCAUAAUACUAAAUUACUGCAUGGUAAUUUAUUUAAACAUUUAUGGCUUACAGAUGGGCAUGCGCAUGAUUAGCUAGUUGGAGAGGUAACGGCUCCCCAAGGCAACGAUCAUUAGGGGUUCUGAGAGGAAGGUCCCCCCACACUGGUACUGAGACACGGACCAGACUCCUACGGGAGGCAGCAGUGAGGAAUAUUGGUCAAUGGACGAGAGUCUGAACCAGCCAAGUCGCGUGCAGGAAGAAUUGUCCUAUGGAUUGUAAACUGCUUUUGCAGGGGAAUAAAGUGCAUCACGUGUGAUGUUUUGUAUGUACUCUGCGAAUAAGGAUCGGCUAACUCCGUGCCAGCCGCCGC
RNAcentral lists this ribosomal RNA (494 nucleotides) under uncultured bacterium. RNAcentral's name for it is "bacterial SSU rRNA". It matches the Rfam family "Bacterial small subunit ribosomal RNA", at positions 31 to 518 of the family's 1533-position model. The record is from RNAcentral.